ACACUGGAAGGGAAGAGGAAGGAAGUACAUUGGUUCUUCAGGAGGCGGGGGAUGCGGUGGACAGGAGAAGUAGCAGUGACAUGGUACCCUCUUGACUCUUGCAAACAAAAUCUACCCUGGUUACCACAAAUGCUUUUCUCCAUGCCUUUGCUUUUGAAAGUAUUAGCUACAAGGAUGAGUCUGGGAUCCAAAGUGGACACUGUGGUGAAAAGCAUGGCUACUUCUGGAAAGAACUCAGAUGAAGAGAAGGAGGGGAAAGGAGGAUUGUCAGUCUUCAUUUGGUAUCAGAGAUGCCUUUGAACUUCAGGAAAGCCGCCAUUUUGUUUUUGUUCACUUCUCUAAUGCUUUGUGUCUGCAACAUGAAACACAAGUACAUUCCACGGGACUGAACAGAUUCAUGACAAAAGAACAUUCUAUUUGGUCAAAUUUGAAUUUCAAGAGAUGGCCAACUUUUAAUGAGAAGGCAUUAUGGUUUUGUUUCCCUUUUCUUUAUGUGACUCAGUGA
Molecule: long non-coding RNA, 505 nt
Filed under: Sus scrofa (pig)
Lineage: Eukaryota; Metazoa; Chordata; Mammalia; Artiodactyla; Suidae
Description: lncRNA (ENSSSCG00025000427.1)
Source: RNAcentral